CUGGAUCAUUUUCCGAUG
Molecule: ribosomal RNA, 18 nt
Filed under: Leishmania sp. 'siamensis'
Lineage: Eukaryota; Euglenozoa; Kinetoplastea; Trypanosomatida; Trypanosomatidae
Also listed under: 6 other names
Description: partial 18S ribosomal RNA
Source: RNAcentral